Molecule: ribosomal RNA, 1276 nt
Filed under: metagenome
Description: SSU rRNA
Rfam family: Eukaryotic small subunit ribosomal RNA
Source: RNAcentral
AGUCUGGUGCCAGCAGCCGCGGUAAUUCCAGCUCCAAUAGGAUAUAUCAAAGUUGUUGCAGUUAAAAAGCUCGUAGUUGAAUUUCUGGAAGGUAGAAGUGUUUUUUUUAGAGAAGCAAUUUUUUAUGAAAGACGCCGCUUUCCAUUUUGUGGAUUUCUGUUUUGUAUGAGAUAGUUUACUCUAUUUUUAUAUAAAAUACCACUCCGUCACUGAGAGCAAAUUGGAGUGCUCAAAGCAGGCUUUAUUAGCUUUGAACAUUUUAGCUUGGAAUGACAAGAUAUGACUUUUGUUUUAUUUUGUUGGUUAUGAAAUAAAAGUAAUGAUUAACAGGAACAGUUGCGGGGGUACUCGUAUUGAAAGGUCAGAGGUGAAAUUCUUGGAUUCUUUCAAGACGAACGACUGCGAAAGCAUUUACCAAGGAUGUUUUCAUUAAUCAAGAACGAAAGCUCGGGGAUCGAAGAUGAUUAGAUACCAUCGUAGUCCGACGCCAUAAACGAUGCCGACUCGGGAUUAUUUUGUUUGUUUACAUUAAUAAAGGACACAAAGUAGCACCGUAUGAGAAAUCAAAGUCUUUGGGUUCCGGGGGGAGUAUGGUCGCAAGGCUGAAACUUAAAGGAAUUGACGGAAGGGCACGCCAGAGGUGGAGCCUGCGGUUUAAUUUGACUCAACACGGGGAAACUUACCAGGUCCAGACAUGAUGAGGAUUGACAGUUUGAAAGCACUUUCUUGAUUUCAUGGGUGGUGGUGCAUGGCCGUUCUUAGUUGGUGGAGUGAUUUGUCUGGUUGAUUCCGAUAACGAACGAGACGGGGUGAAUUUACUAGUUUGUUAUAUAAUUUACGUUAUAUAAGACUUCUUUAUUCGACAACUUGGUUUUACCAAGAGGAAGCGCCCCGCAAUAACAGGUCUGUGAUGCCCUUAGAUGUUCUGGGCUACACGCGCGCUACAAUGACGAAUUCAACGAGUUUAAAAUUUAUUCCUUAUCCGGAAGGAUGUGGGUAAUCUUUUCAAUAUUCGUCGUGAUGGGGCUAGAUUUUUGCAAUUAUUAAUCUUCAACGAGGAAUCUCUAGUAUGUGCAAGUCAUCAGCUUGCGCAGAAUGCGUCCCUGCCCUUUGUACACACCGCCCGUCGCACCUACCGAUUGGACGAUCCGGCAAGAUGUUUGGAGUUGUUUUGAUUGUAGAGUAAUUUAUGAUGAAAAUGACAAAGCUCUUCAAACCUUAUCGUCUAGAGGAAGGUGAAGUCGUAACAAGGUCUCCGUAGGUGAACCUGCGGAGG